GAGUUUGAUCCUGGCUCAGGAUGAACGCUAGCGGCAGGCCUAACACAUGCAAGUCGAGGGGUAACAGAUGAAGAGCUUGCUCAGAUUGCUGACGACCGGCGCACGGGUGAGUAACACGUAUGCAACCUACCUUUUACAGAGGGAUAGCCCAGAGAAAUUUGGAUUAAUACCUCAUAAUAUUUUUAACUCGCAUGAGUUUUAAAUUAAAACUUCGGUGGUAAAAGAUGGGCAUGCGUUCUAUUAGUUUGUUGGUGAGGUAACGGCUUACCAAGACUACGAUAGAUAGGGGUUCUGAGAGGAUAGUCCCCCACACUGGUACUGAGACACGGACCAGACUCCUACGGGAGGCAGCAGUGAGGAAUAUUGGUCAAUGGUCGAAAGACUGAACCAGCCAUGUCGCGUGAAGGAUGACGGCCCUAUGGGUUGUAAACUUCUUUUGUAUGGGAAGAAAAGCAGUUACGUGUAACUGUCUGCCGGUACCAUACGAAUAAGGAUCGGCUAACUCCGUGCCAGCAGCCGCGGUAAUACGGAGGAUCCAAGCGUUAUCCGGAUUUAUUGGGUUUAAAGGGUGCGUAGGCGGCUCUAUAAGUCAGUAGUGAAAUCUCGAAGCUCAACUUCGAACGUGCUAUUGAAACUGUAGAGCUUGAGUACAGACGAGGCAGGCGGAAUGUGUUGUGUAGCGGUGAAAUGCUUAGAUAUAACACAGAACACCGAUAGCGAAGGCAGCUUGCCAGACUGUAACUGACGCUGAGGCACGAAAGCGUGGGGAGCGAACAGGAUUAGAUACCCUGGUAGUCCACGCCGUAAACGAUGAUUACUCGUUGUGCACAAUACAUCGUGCGUGACUGAGCGAAAGCAUUAAGUAAUCCACCUGGGGAGUACGUUCGCAAGAAUGAAACUCAAAGGAAUGACGG
Molecule: ribosomal RNA, 914 nt
Filed under: uncultured bacterium
Lineage: Bacteria
Description: bacterial SSU rRNA
Rfam family: Bacterial small subunit ribosomal RNA
Source: RNAcentral